CCUUUAGCUCAGUUGGUAGAGCAACUGACUCUUAAUCAGUGGGUCCCGGGUUCGAGUCCCUGAAGGU
This 67-nucleotide transfer RNA is filed under the name human gut metagenome. It matches the Rfam family "tRNA". Rfam says of the family: Transfer RNA (tRNA) molecules are approximately 80 nucleotides in length. Their secondary structure includes four short double-helical elements and three loops (D, anti-codon, and T loops). The record is from RNAcentral.